RNAcentral lists this ribosomal RNA (842 nucleotides) under uncultured bacterium. RNAcentral's name for it is "bacterial SSU rRNA". It matches the Rfam family "Bacterial small subunit ribosomal RNA", at positions 35 to 868 of the family's 1533-position model. The record is from RNAcentral.
GAAGGGGGGGCGCUUACCAUGCAAGUCGAACGGGGCUCUUUCGGGGGUCCAGUGGCGAACGGGUGCGUAACACGUGAGCAACCUGCCUGGAGUUGGGGGAUAACCUCGGGAAACCGGGGCUAAUACCGCAUGAGCUCAUCCGGCUGGAUGGUUGGGUGAGGAAAGGAGCUUUCGGGCUUUGACUUCAGAGGGGCUCGCGGCGUAUCAGCUGGUUGGUGAGGUAACGGCUCACCAAGGCGACGACGCGUAGGGGGUCUGAGAGGAUGGCCCCCCACAUUGGGACUGAGAUACGGCCCAGACUCCUACGGGAGGCAGCAGUGGGGAAUCUUGCGCAAUGGCCGAAAGGCUGACGCAGCGACGCCGCGUGCGGGAGGAAGCCCUUCGGGGUGUAAACCGCUGUCAGGAGGGACGAGUGCCCCGGGGAGGCAAUGCCCUUGGGGAGAGACGGUACCUCCAGAGGAAGCACCGGCUAACUCCGUGCCAGCAGCCGCGGUAAUACGGAGGGUGCGAGCGUUGUUCGGAAUUAUUGGGCGUAAAGCGCACGUAGGCGGCCCGUUAAGUCUCUUGGUGAAAGGCCGGGGCUCAACCCCGAGCAUGCCGGGGAUACUGGGGGGCUGGAGACAGGUAGAGGCCAGCGGAAUUCCGGGUGUAGCGGUGGAAUGCGUAGAGAUCCGGAAGAACACCGGAGGCGAAAGCGGCUGGCUGGACCUGAUCUGACGCUGAGGUGCGAAAGCGUGGGGAGCGAACAGGAUUAGAUACCCUGGUAGUCCACGCCGUAACGAUGGAGACUAAAUGCCGGUGGGAUCGACCCCUUCGGUGUCGGAGCUUAUGCGUUAGAUCUC